This is a long non-coding RNA of Mizuhopecten yessoensis (Yesso scallop), 1538 nucleotides long. RefSeq lists it as uncharacterized. The record is from RefSeq and is a predicted model, not a curated record. NCBI's taxonomy places the organism in Eukaryota, Metazoa, Mollusca, Bivalvia, Pectinida, Pectinidae. The transcript is spliced from 2 exons.
ACUCCGUUGUUCCAGUCUACUCAGCUGUAAAUAAGUAUGUGGUUGGGCAAUGCUAGAAUUGUAGAAUAUGCUAGCUGUGACUGCCAAAAUCGCCGCCUCAGCUGUAUGCUCCCCAGGGAAUUGAGAAAGAUAUUGGCUGGUCACAAAGGCCCUAUUACCACUGAUAAUAUUAGUGAACCACUUUUGAGACGACCUACCAACUAGGUUGUGAAAAGCAGUAUAUAAGAACCUCAAAUUAUUAUUGCUUAUUGCUUACACGUCUGUGAAAUGAUGAGAAUAUGACAAUGAAUUGGUUACACACGUCUGUGAAAUGAUGAGAAUAUGACAAUGAUUUGGUCACACACGUCUGUGAAAUGAUGAGAAUAUGACAAUGAAUUGGUCACACACGUCUGUGAAAUGAUGAGUAUGACAAUGAAUUGGUCUCACACGUCUGUGAAAUGAUGAGAAUAUGACAAUGAAUUGAUCACACACGUCUGUGAAAUGAUGAGAGUAUGACAAUGAAUUGGUCAUACACGUCUGUGAAAUGAGGAGAGUAUGACAAUGAAUUGGUCACACACGUCUGGGAAAUGAUGAGAGUAUGACAAUGAAUUGGUCACACACGUCUGGGAAAUGAUGUGUAUGACAAUGAAUUGGUCUCACACGUCUGUGAAAUGAUGAGAAUAUGACAAUGAAUUGGUCAUACACGUCUGUGAAAUGAUGAGAGUAUGACAAUGAAUUGGUCACACACGUCUGGGAAAUGAUGAGAGUAUGACAAUGAAUUGGUCACACACGUCUGUAAAAUGAUGAGAGUAUGACAAUGAAUUGGUCACACACGUCUGGGAAAUGAUGAGUAUGACAAUGAAUUGGUACACACGUCUGUGAAAUGAUGAGAAUAUGACAAUGAAUUGAUCACACACGUCUGUGAAAUGAUGAGAGUAUGACAAUGAAUUGGUCAUACACGUCUGUGAAAUGAGGAGAGUAUGACAAUGAAUUGGUCACACACGUCUGGGAAAUGAUGAGAGUAUGACAAUGAAUUGGUCACACACAUCUGCGAAAAUGAUGCACAGGUGCAUUCAUUUGAUUCAUUUGAGAAUUUUGACCAUCACUGAUUCAGUCACAAGUUCCGGUGACAACAAUAACCUUCUAAUAUAAGCUUUAGAACCAUACAUGUUUAAUGGUCAAUCAUCAUGAAAUUGAUUGUUAAGUAUUUAUUUAUUUAUACCAGAUUGUGUAUAUUAUUGUGUUGCAUGCUAUUAAAGUCACAUCAUUGUCACCUUGGGUCACAUCAUUGUUCACCUUGGGUCACAUCAUUGUCACCUUGGGGUUCAUGAUAAAAAUCAAAUAGUGAUUUCCUUGGGGUAGUUUCAUGGGUUGGAGACACUGAAUAUAUUGUACCUUGAGUAUACAAACAGUGUGUAAUGUGUCUUAUGAAGCCAAUCUGUGCUUUAUAUUUUUCUUGCAUGCUUGUUAAUGUUAAUAUUUUAGUGUUCAACCAUUUAUAGAAAUAACCUGUAAAAGCUCAUAUGUUUAACCAUGAAUCAAAUAAAAUCAACUUCACA